UACAGAGGUGGCAAGCGUUGUUCGGAAUUACUGGGCGUAAAGGGCGCGUAGGCGGCCAUCUAAGUCAGACGUGAAAUCCCCAGGCUCAACUUGGGAACUGCGUCUGAUACUGGAUGGCUUGAAUUCGGGAGAGGGAUGCAGAAUUCCAGGUGUAGCGGUGAAAUGCGUAGAUAUCUGGAGGAAUACCGGUGGCGAAGGCGGCAUCCUGGACCGAGAUUGACACUGAUGAGCGAAAGCUAGGGGAGCAAACGGG
RNAcentral lists this ribosomal RNA (253 nucleotides) under uncultured bacterium. RNAcentral's name for it is "partial 16S ribosomal RNA". It matches the Rfam family "Bacterial small subunit ribosomal RNA", at positions 524 to 776 of the family's 1533-position model. The record is from RNAcentral.